Molecule: transfer RNA, 69 nt
Filed under: Paenibacillus larvae
Lineage: Bacteria; Bacillati; Bacillota; Bacilli; Caryophanales; Paenibacillaceae
Description: tRNA-Glu
Rfam family: tRNA
About the family: Transfer RNA (tRNA) molecules are approximately 80 nucleotides in length. Their secondary structure includes four short double-helical elements and three loops (D, anti-codon, and T loops).
Source: RNAcentral
GGCCCGUUGGUCAAGGCGACACUCCCUUUCACGGAGGUAACAGGGGUUCGAAUCUCCUACGGGUCACCA